UCAAGCGAAUAAGUGCAUGUGGUGGAUGCCUUGGCGAUUACAGGCGAUGAAGGACGUGGCAGCCUGCGAAAAGCUGCGGGGAGCUGGCAAAUGAGCAUUGAUCCGCAGAUAUCCGAAUGGGGAAACCCGGCCCGCAAGGGUCACUCCGAUCUGAAUAUAUAGGAUUGGUAGAGCGAACCCGCUGAACUGAAACAUCUAAGUAAGCGGAGGAACAGAAAUCAACCGAGAUUCCGGCAGUAGCGGCGAGCGAACCCGGACCAGCCAGUGCGAUGUAACUUGUGCUCUAGCAAAACGGCAUGGAAAGGCCGGCCAUAGUGGGUGAUAGUCCCGUAUGCGAAAGGGCAUGAGUGAAACUAGGCGCACAACAAGUAGGGCGGGGCACGUGGAAUCCUGUCUGAACAUGGGGGGACCAUCCUCCAAGGCUAAAUACUCGUAAUCGACCGAUAGUGAACUAGUACCGUGAGGGAAAGGCGAAAAGAACCCCGGGAGGGGAGUGAAAUAGAUCCUGAAACCGCAUGCAUACAAACAGUAGGAGCCCCUCCUUUAAUGGCCUUCGAGGGCUUUGGCGCGGUCGCGCAGCGACGGCGUCAAAAGUGGGUCAGAAGGAGUGAAAGUGACCUCUCCGGGAAAGCGAAGAGAGGGCCAUUAGAGGAGGGGUGACUGCGUACCUUUUGUAUAAUGGGUCAGCGACUUACAUUCAUUGGCGAGCUUAACCGGAUAGGGCAGGCGCAGCGAAAGCGAGUCCGAACAGGGCGAUUCAGUCGAUGGGUGUAGACCCGAAAGCGGAUGAUCUACUCAUGGCCAGGUUGAAGCGGGGGUAACACCUCGUGGAGGACCGAACCAACUAACGUUGAAAAGUUAGUGGAUGAGCUGUGGGUAGGGGUGAAAGGCCAAACAAAUCCGCAGAUAGCUGGUUCUCUCCGAAAACUAUUUAGGUAGUGCCUCGUGUAACACCUUUGGGGGUAGAGCACUGUUUUGGCUAGGGGGUCAUAUCGACCUACCAAACCAAGGCAAACUCCGAAUACCGAAGAGUGCAUUCACGGGAGACAGUGCACCGGGUGCUAACGUCCGGACACGAGAGGGAAACAACCCAGACCGCCAGCUAAGGUCCCGAAUAUAUGACUAAGUGGUCAACGAGGUGAGAAGGCCCAGACAGCCAGGAGGUUGGCUUAGAAGCAGCCAUCCUUUAAAGAAAGCGUAAUAGCUCACUGGUCGAGUCGUCUUGCGCGGAAGAUGUACCGGGGCUCAAGUCAUAAACCGAAGCUGCGGGUUCAGAUGUCCUUCGGGGCAUUUGAGCGGUAGGAGAGCGUUCCGUAGGUCUGUGAAGGUGACUCGAGAGGGUUGCUGGAGAUAUCGGAAGUGCGAAUGCUGACAUGAGUAGCGAUAAAGGGGGUGAAAGGCCCCCUCGCCGAAAGCCCAAGGUUUCCUGCGCAACGUUCAUCGGCGCAGGGUGAGUCGGUCCCUAAGGUCAGGGCGAAAGCCGUAGCUGAUGGGAAUCUGGUUAAUAUUCCAGAACCGCUAUGUAAUGCGAUGGGGGGACGGAGAAGGUUAGGCAGACCGGGUGUUGGACGUCCCGGUGAAGUGUGUAGGCGGAUCCCUUAGGCAAAUCCGGGGGAUUGUUAACGCUGAGGCACGGGACCAGUGGAGCUUGCUCCGCGAAGCUGCUGAUACCCUGCUUCCAGGAAAAGCCUCUAAGCUUCAGUUACAUAGUGACCGUACCGUAAACCGACACAGGUGGGCGGGAAGAAUAUUCUCAGGCGCUUGAGAGAACUCAGGAGAAGGAACCGGCAAAUUGACACCGUAACUUCGGAAGAAGGUGUGCCCUGUUAGGGUGAAGGGACUUGCUCCCCGAGCGCGAGAGGGUUGCAGAGAAUCGGUGGCUGCGACUGUUUAUUAAAAACAUAGCACUGUGCUAACACGAUGAGUGGACGUAUACGGUGUGACGCCUGCCCGGUGCCGGAAGGUUAAGUGAUGGGGUGCAAGCUCUUGAUCGAAGCCCCGGUAAACGGCGGCCGUAACUAUAACGGUCCUAAGGUAGCGAAAUUCCUUGUCGGGUAAGUUCCGACCUGCACGAAUGGCGUAACGAUGGCCACACUGUCUCCUCCUGAGACUCAGCGAAGUUGAAAUGGUUGUGAUGAUGCAAUCUACCCGCGGCUAGACGGAAAGACCCCGUGCACCUUUACUGUAGCUUUGCAUUGGACUGUGAUGGAAUUUGUGUAGGAUAGCUGGGAGGCUUUGAAGUGGGGGCGCCAGCUCUCAUGGAGCCGACGUUGAAAUACCAGCCUGAUUGUAUUGCGGUUCUAACCCAGGUCCCUUGAACGGGAUCGGGGACCGUGCAUGGUAGGCAGUUUGACUGGGGCGGUCUCCUCCCAAAGAGUAACGGAGGAGUUCGAAGGUUCGCUAGGUACGGUCGGACAUCGUGCUGAUAGUGCAUUGGCAAAAGCGAGCUUGACUGCGAGACUGACGGGUCGAGCAGGUGCGAAAGCAGGACAAAGUGAUCCGGUGGUUCUGUAUGGAAGGGCCAUCGCUCAACGGAUAAAAGGUACGCCGGGGAUAACAGGCUGAUCUCCCCCAAGAGUUCAUAUCGACGGGGAGGUUUGGCACCUCGAUGUCGGCUCAUCACAUCCUGGGGCUGUAGCCGGUCCCAAGGGUAUGGCUGUUCGCCAUUUAAAGUGGUACGCGAGCUGGGUUUAGAACGUCGUGAGACAGUUUGGUCCCUAUCUACCGUGGGCGUUGGAAGUUUGAGGGGGGCUGCUCCUAGUACGAGAGGACCGGAGUGGACGUAGCCCUGGUGUACCGGUUGUGACGCCAGUUGCAUUGCCGGGUAGCUAACUACGGAAGAGAUAACCGCUGAAAGCAUCUAAGCGGGAAACUCGCCUCGAGAUGAGACUUCCCUGGGGGUUAACCCCACUGAAGGGUCGUUGCAGACGACAACGUUGAUAGGCCGGGUGUGGAAGCGCAGCAAUGCGUUGAGCUAACCGGUACUAAUUGCCCGUGCGGCUUGACCCU
This 3009-nucleotide ribosomal RNA is filed under the name marine sediment metagenome. RNAcentral describes it as "bacterial LSU rRNA". It matches the Rfam family "Bacterial large subunit ribosomal RNA". The record is from RNAcentral.